Molecule: transfer RNA, 226 nt
Filed under: Marmota monax (woodchuck)
Lineage: Eukaryota; Metazoa; Chordata; Mammalia; Rodentia; Sciuridae
Description: tRNA.Glu
Source: RNAcentral
GGGGAUGUAGCUCAGUGGUAGAGUAUAUUUAAUUCUCAGUACUGCCAAAAAGAAAAAGAAAACAAAAGGAACUCUUUAAAAUGAUGUUACAAGGUAAUAUAAGAAACAUGAAGGAAGUGUAAGGAAGAAAUUAAUAAAAAUUAAAGCAAGGACUGGGUAUAUAGUUCAUUGGUAGAAUGAUUGCAUCUUGUAUACAAGGCCCUGAGUUCAAUCCCCAGCACCACAA